CCCCUGUCUCUAAAUAAAAUAUAAAAAAAACAGGCUGUGGAUAUUGCUCAGUGGAGUCCAAAGGUUCCGGUGACUCAAGCCCUUCAGCCACUAAGACACUGCAUACAAAGAUCGGGAAACUGAAUCCUGGAACAUCAGGAGAUGGCAGCGGAGCCCCAGCUUCUGGAGAAUAAGUUGGAAGAGAAGAGGUAAGCAAUUUGCCAUACUUUGCCCACAGUCUCCUUCCUCCAAAUGUUGGUUCUUUAGGAGCCCUGAAUACUUACCAGACCUUCUUUGAAUAGGUCUUUAUGGAUUACUGCCACUAUUUACCAAAUAAAGACACUGAAGCCCCAAGACAAAACUUUAAAAGAGAAUAAAAUGUGAUGUGUGUCAUUCAUGAAGUUAACAGAUAUCAGCAAGGCACGGUAGUACACACCAGUAAUACCAGCGGCUCGGGAGAGGAGUCAGGCAGGAGGAUCACAAGUUCGAGGGCAGACGGGCAAGUUAGUAAGACCUUGCCUCAAAAUAAAAUUUUAAAAAGGGUUGGGAAUGUAACUCAGUAGUAAAGCACCCCUGGGUUCAAUCCCAAAUACUGAAAAAAUAAAAAGAAGAAAAAUAGAAGUCAAAAAGCAGACAAAACCUAGUGAGAGUUUAUUAGAACCCAGACAUAUUUCAGAAAGUAAGACUUCUGAUUGUGUACCAAUACCAUUUUAAUUUUUCCUUUGUAAAAUUGCUAGUUUUUAUGUAAAUGCUAGCUAUUUUCAUUUAAACUCAAUAAGUUUAGAUUUUAUAACUGUAAAUUUCAGACUCUGAAAGUGAUGUCUGCUAAUAGGAUCAGUUAAUACAAAUUCAAGUCAUAUCUUAAACAUUGUUCCAAAGAAAAUCACUUAUUCAACACUCAAUAAUGUUUUUAGUUGUCAAUGAACCGUCAUUUUUAUUUAUUUAUAUGCAGUGCUGAGAAUCAAACCCAGUGCCUCAUACAUGCUAGGCAAGCGCUUUACCACUGAGCCACAAACCCAGCCCUAAGUAAAUAAUUUUGUUAUAUAAAAAACUAGAUAGUGGGUCUGGGGAUAUAGCUCCAUUGGUAGAGGCCCUCUAGGCCCCAAGGUUCAAUCUCAGCACCUAAAAAAACAAAACAAAACCAAAAAAACUAGAUAUUGAAAGUCUCCAAAAGACUUAAAUAUUUAACUACUGUUGAAGUUUCAAGAUUCCAGAGGCAAGCAAUCCCAGCACUGAUUUACCUAUGCUGAAAUAAUCUUACAGCUACAAAAUCAAAUCGCCAAAGAACUUUGGAUAUUGUGUAACAGGUUAACAUAUUUUACUCCAUGGAAAAGUUAUAGGCCAGGCUAUAUGGGCAAUGACUAAACAGACUCCAUUUUACCUGGACACUCCAUGUUAUGUAGGAAAUGCUUCUCCCAUGGGAACACCCCACCUCUGUACCCGUAAACAGUUGCUUAGCCUGACUUGUUUGGUAAUACAAAAUGACGAAAUAGAAAUUCUUGUAUAAUGAAAAAGUGUUCUCUUUUUGAUUCUUUGUUUCCUAAACAAUGUACCAUGUUAACAGUGAUUGUUUAGAUGUUAGUAACCAUUCUCUAAUG
Molecule: long non-coding RNA, 1577 nt
Organism: Sciurus carolinensis (gray squirrel)
Lineage: Eukaryota; Metazoa; Chordata; Mammalia; Rodentia; Sciuridae
Exons: 4
Source: RefSeq, a predicted model, not a curated record